Molecule: ribosomal RNA, 440 nt
Filed under: uncultured bacterium
Lineage: Bacteria
Description: partial 16S ribosomal RNA
Rfam family: Bacterial small subunit ribosomal RNA
Source: RNAcentral
CCUACGGGAGGCAGCAGUAGGGAAUAUUGCACAAUGGGGGAAACCCUGAAGCAGCAACGCCGCGUGGAGGAUGAAGGUUUUCGGAUUGUAAACUCCUUUUGUUAGAGAAGAUAAUGACGGUAUCUAAAGAAUAAGCACCGGCUAACUACGUGCCAGCAGCCGCGGUAAUACGGAGGGUGCAAGCGUUAUUCGGAUUCACUGGGCGUAAAGAGCGCGUAGGCGGGAUAGCAAGUCAGAGGUGAAAGCCUAGGGCUGAACCAUAGAACUGCAUUUGAAACUGUUUUUCUAGAGUGUGGGAGAGGUAGGCGGAAUUCGUGGUGUAGGGGUAAAAUGCGUAGAGAUCAGGAGGAAUACUCAUUGCGAAGGCGACCUGCUGGAAUAUAACUGACGCUGAUGCGCGAAAGCGUGGGGAGCAAACAGGAUUAGAUACCCGAGUAGUC